Molecule: transfer RNA, 77 nt
Filed under: Halobacillus sp. BAB-2008
Lineage: Bacteria; Bacillati; Bacillota; Bacilli; Caryophanales; Bacillaceae
Description: tRNA-Ile
Rfam family: tRNA (bases 16-77)
About the family: Transfer RNA (tRNA) molecules are approximately 80 nucleotides in length. Their secondary structure includes four short double-helical elements and three loops (D, anti-codon, and T loops).
Source: RNAcentral
UUCUAAGAAUUGAAUGGGCCUGUAGCUCAGCUGGUUAGAGCGCACGCCUGAUAAGCGUGAGGUCGGUGGUUCAAGUC